This is a long non-coding RNA of Folsomia candida, 486 nucleotides long. RefSeq lists it as uncharacterized. NCBI's taxonomy places the organism in Eukaryota, Metazoa, Arthropoda, Collembola, Entomobryomorpha, Isotomidae. The transcript is spliced from 2 exons. The record is from RefSeq and is a predicted model, not a curated record.
AUUUCUCUUAAAUAAAUAUUCAUGUUAUUGACAUCUGCGAAUUUAAUAUUUAAAAAAGUGACUGAAUAAAAAUGCAAAAGGAAUAAAUUACACACUUUUCAACCGGCAUAUUGCAAAAUUAGAAAUUCCCAAAAACCAGAGUAGCUCGGAUAGUGAAAAAUAUCACUCCAAAAUAGUUAUGCGGGGGACAUGAUUCUAAUUCUUUAUGAAACUCUAUCGACGAUUCCAAAAAUAUUGAGCUUCUAACUGAAUGCAUUGAAUGAAUUCUGUGACUAUUAUAUAGUUGGAAGUAUAUUUACAAUUUGUAACACUUAGUGUAGAUUCGCUAAUUCUAGAAGUUUAUUUAAAUGUUUAAUUUAUAUUAAAUAUAAUUACAAUUUUGCACGGUAUUGGUUUGUUUAUAAGCUGAAGAUGCAUUUCAUGUACAUAAAAUAAUUCAUAUGCAUUAUUUAUGGAAUUAAAUAAUUGGAAUUAUAUAAUUCACUA